CACGUAGGGACCAAGCGUUGUCCGGAUUCAUUGGGCGUAAAGAGCUCGUAGGCGGUUCAGUAAGUCGGGUGUGAAACCUCCAGGCUCAACCUGGAGACGCCACCCGAUACUGCUGUGACUAGAGUCCAGUAGGGGAGCGUGGAAUUCCUGGUGUAGCGGUGAAAUGCGCAGAUAUCAGGAGGAACACCAGCGGCAAAGGCGGCGCUCUGGGCUGGAACUGACGCUGAGGAGCGAAAGCGUGGGGAGCGAACAGG
Molecule: ribosomal RNA, 254 nt
Filed under: uncultured bacterium
Lineage: Bacteria
Description: partial 16S ribosomal RNA
Rfam family: Bacterial small subunit ribosomal RNA
Source: RNAcentral